This 960-nucleotide non-coding RNA is filed under the name Pongo abelii (Sumatran orangutan). The record is from RNAcentral. Lineage: Eukaryota; Metazoa; Chordata; Mammalia; Primates; Hominidae.
UGGGCUAAGCCAGAUCAGAAAGGGCCCCGUGCGCAACGUGCUUCACAAUCUCUCAGGCAAAGCGGCCAACGUGGCGCUACUCCGCCUCCCCUGUUCCUUACCGGUGGGGCGGCCGCCAUGUUUCCUGAACACAAAAUGGCGACACGUGAGGAAGACACUUAAAGAUGAAGUGCUUAAUUCAAGGUCACAGAAUGUCGGGGAUGGACCUCCAGAUUUCCUUACUGGUGAGACGUGGUCUUGUAACACAGUGGUUAAGAAUGUGACUUUGGAGCCAGCCUGCUAGGGGCUGAAUUCUGACUCAGCCAUUUAUUAACUGUGUGACCUUAGAUGGAGUCUCACUCUGUAGCCCAAGCUGGAGUGGCGUGAUCUCGACUCACUGCAACCUCCGCCUCCUGGGCUCAAGUGAUUCUCGUGCCUCAGCCUCCUGAGUAGCUGGGACUACAGAGAUGAGAUUUCACCAUAUUACCCAGGCUGUUCUUGAACUCCUAGGCUCAAGUGAUCUGUCUGCCUCGGCCUCCCAAAGUGUUGGGAUUACAGGUCAUAGAAUUUUCCACACUCCUUGACGGAGGUUCUUAACCCUUAUCCAUCAGCAUUCUCAGACAGCACCUCCGGUUAGGGACAGUAUCUGACCGUCCGACAUCCCUGCAGCCCCCAUGCUGUCACACAGACUCAGCCUCAGGUAGAUGGUUUCCGUAGAUGGUGGCUUUCUUUGGACCCUUGAUAUCAACCAGUUACUAUUUGGGGACCAGAUGUGCAGAGGUAAUGAAUACCAGGGAAUCAGGAAACCACUGGAUCAGUUCUUUGAGCCAUAGAACAACACUCAUCCCAGCAGCUGGGAAGCUAUCUGCAAAAGUCCAUCUGCAGAAAGGGCUUCCUGGUCUUGCGUGUGGCUGGGCCAUUUCUCUGGAUGCAGGUUUUUCAUUAUACAGUCUUCUCAAAGGACCACCUGCUCUCAACACC